Molecule: ribosomal RNA, 100 nt
Filed under: Bacillota bacterium
Lineage: Bacteria; Bacillati; Bacillota
Description: Firmicutes bacterium (gut metagenome) partial 23S ribosomal RNA
Rfam family: Bacterial large subunit ribosomal RNA
Source: RNAcentral
CAGGUAAGACCCCUUGAAGACUACAAGGUAGAUAGGCUCAGAGUGUAAGUGUGGUGACACAUUCAGCUCGGGAGUACUAAUCGGUCGAGGGCUUGACCAG